This 1248-nucleotide ribosomal RNA is filed under the name Iranian safflower phytoplasma. RNAcentral's name for it is "bacterial SSU rRNA". It matches the Rfam family "Bacterial small subunit ribosomal RNA", at positions 156 to 1399 of the family's 1533-position model. The record is from RNAcentral. Lineage: Bacteria; Bacillati; Mycoplasmatota; Mollicutes; Acholeplasmatales; Acholeplasmataceae.
ACGACUGCUAAGACUGGAUAGGAAAUUAAGAGGCAUCUUUUAAUUUUUAAAAGACCUUUUUCGGAAGGUAUGCUUAAAGAGGGGCUUGCGCCACAUUAGUUAGUUGGUAAGGUAAAGGCUUACCAAGACGAUGAUGUGUAGCUGGACUGAGAGGUUGAACAGCCACAUUGGGACUGAGACACGGCCCAAACUCCUACGGGAGGCAGCAGUAAGGAAUUUUUGGCAAUGGAGGAAACUCUGACCGAGCGACGCCGCGUGAACAAUGAAGUACUUCGGUAUGUAAAGUUCUUUUAUUGAAAAAGAAAAAAUAGUGGAAAAACUAUCUUGACAUUAUUCAAUGAAUAAGCCCCGGCUAAUUAUGUGCCAGCAGCCGCGGUAAUACAUAAGGGGCGAGCGUUAUCCGGAAUUAUUGGGCGUAAAGGGUGCGUAGGCGGUUUGAUAAGUCUAUAGUUUAAAUGCAGCGCUUAACGCUGUAGCGCUAUAGAAACUGUCUGACUAGAGUUAGAUAGAGGCAAGCGGAAUUCCAUGUGUAGCGGUAAAAUGCGUAAAUAUAUGGAGGAACACCAGAGGCGUAGGCGGCUUGCUGGGUCUUAACUGACGCUGAGGCACGAAAGCGUGGGGAGCAAACAGGAUUAGAUACCCUGGUAGUCCACGCCGUAAACGAUGAGUACUAAGUGUCGGGUUCCGGCUCGGGUACUGAAGUUAACACAUUAAGUACUCCGCCUGAGUAGUACGUACGCAAGUAUGAACUUAAAGGAAUUGACGGGCACCCCGCACAAGCGGUGGAUCAUGUUGUUUAAUUCGAAGAUACACGAAAAACCUUACCAGGUCUUGACAUAAUUUUGCGACAUUAUAGAAAUAUAAUGAAGGUUAUCAGAAUUACAGGUGGUGCAUGGUUGUCGUCAGCUCGUGUCGUGAGAUGUUAGGUUAAGUCCUAAAACGAGCGCAACCCUUGUCGUUAGUUGCGACCACGUAAUGGUGAGCACUUUAGCGAGACUGCCAAUGAAAAAUUGGAGGAAGGUGAGGAUUACGUCAAAUCAUCAUGCCCCUUAUGAUCUGGGCUACAAACGUGAUACAAUGGCUGUUACAAAGAGUAGCUACAACGUGAGUUUUUAGCCAAUCUCAAAAAAACAGUCUCAGUUCGGAUUGAAGUCUGCAACUCGACUUCAUGAAGUUGGAAUCGCUAGUAAUCGCGAAUCAGCAUGUCGCGGUGAAUACGUUCACGGGGUUUGUACACACCGCCCGUCA